CCUAGAGUUGUAGGCUUUGCCUGCUAUCUCUUACCCAUGUCUUUUGAGUACCUUACGUUUCCUCGGUGGGUUCGCCCACCGAUUGGACAAACUUAAACCCUUUGCAGUUGAAAUCAGCGUCUGAAAAAAAACUUAAUAGUUAC
This 143-nucleotide unclassified non-coding RNA is filed under the name soil metagenome. RNAcentral's name for it is "partial internal transcribed spacer 1". The record is from RNAcentral.